Non-coding RNA from Lupinus albus (white lupine), 246 nucleotides. The record is from the annotation of a GenBank genome assembly. NCBI's taxonomy places the organism in Eukaryota, Viridiplantae, Streptophyta, Magnoliopsida, Fabales, Fabaceae.
GUCCAUAUUCUUGAUUUGUAGCACAAGAAAGAAAGUCCUCUCUCCCAUCAUGAACAUUUCAAAUCCACCUUUCAUUAACUCAGAAAACAAUGUAUAAGCUGUUGCUUGUAGAUUGAAACCUCUCCUUAGGCUGAAAGGUGGUUUUCUAUGUCCUUUUCUUUCUUUCUUUCUUACUUUAAAUGGAUGUGAUGUUCUCAAAUGUUUAAGUCAGGCAACCAUUUGUUGCAAAUAUCUUGAACAAAUAUC